Molecule: long non-coding RNA, 519 nt
Organism: Cyprinus carpio carpio
Lineage: Eukaryota; Metazoa; Chordata; Actinopteri; Cypriniformes; Cyprinidae
Source: Ensembl
GUCAAAAGCAGUUGUGAAGUCAUAGUACUUCUACCCUUCCGAUAGAAUUUUAGUAAUACACAAUGUCUAAUCGACUGUCAGAAACAGUCUGUUAUAUUUUCACAAAAUUGGGCCCCAUAUUUACCAUGAAUUCUAAAAUGCCCAAGGCACGGCUGUUCAAAGAGGUACACAGGGGAUCAGCAGGAUGGAUGGAUGGAUGGAUUGUGGCCAGAGCAGCACAUUUCAGGUAAACAGAGAUGGGUAGGUAUUAGGAUGAUUAGUAGGGAAUGUCCUUUCUCUUGCAGAUGGAGGAUAUUGAGGAGAUUGCUGGACAAAACUUGGAGAGAAUUGUUGGAAACUGCUAGAAGACAUCACUUUGAAGAUGGCAGGAGAGAAACUGUGAUGCACACAGGAACCACCAUUCAGAAUUAGACAGCCUUUGGAAAGUGCUUUGGAGAGCGGAGCGGCAAUUGCGCUGAGCGUAGGCACACAGGCUUACGCUGGAAACUCAUCAGUGGACUUCCCUCCCUCAUCAAUAUA